RNAcentral lists this ribosomal RNA (830 nucleotides) under Cadophora sp. RNAcentral describes it as "partial large subunit ribosomal RNA". It matches the Rfam family "Eukaryotic large subunit ribosomal RNA", at positions 81 to 928 of the family's 3401-position model. Lineage: Eukaryota; Fungi; Ascomycota; Leotiomycetes; Helotiales; Ploettnerulaceae. The record is from RNAcentral.
CAGUAACGGCGAGUGAAGCGGUAACAGCUCAAAUUUGAAAGCUAGCUCUUCUAGGGUUCGCAUUGUAAUUUGUAGAAGAUGCUUCGGGUGUGGCCCCGGUCUAAGUUCCUUGGAACAGGACGUCAUAGAGGGUGAGAAUCCCGUAUGUGACUGGGUGCUUUCGCUCAUGUGAAGCUCUUUCGACGAGUCGAGUUGUUUGGGAAUGCAGCUCAAAAUGGGUGGUAAAUUUCAUCUAAAGCUAAAUAUUGGCCAGAGACCGAUAGCGCACAAGUAGAGUGAUCGAAAGAUGAAAAGCACUUUGGAAAGAGAGUUAAACAGUACGUGAAAUUGUUGAAAGGGAAGCGCUUGCAACCAGACUUGCGCGCUGAUGAUCAUCCGGGCUUCUGCCCGGUGCACUCGUCUGCGCUCAGGCCAGCAUCGGUUUCGGUGGUGGGAUAAAGGCCUUGGGAAUGUAGCUUCUUUCGGGGAGUGUUAUAGCCCUCGGUGCAAUGCCGCCUACCGGGACCGAGGACCGCGCUUCGGCUAGGAUGCUGGCGUAAUGGUUGUAAGCGACCCGUCUUGAAACACGGACCAAGGAGUCUAACAUCUAUGCGAGUGUUUGGGUGUCAAACCCAUACGCGUAAUGAAAGUGAACGGAGGUGAGAACCCUUAAGGGUGCAUCAUCGACCGAUCCUGAUGUCUUCGGAUGGAUUUGAGUAAGAGCAUAGCUGUUGGGACCCGAAAGAUGGUGAACUAUGCGUGAAUAGGGUGAAGCCAGAGGAAACUCUGGUGGAGGCUCGCAGCGGUUCUGACGUGCAAAUCGAUCGUCAAAUUUGCGUAUAGGGGCGAAA